CUCAGACAUGAUCCACUACUGGCUUCCUUGCUGCUUAACUUGCAGAGGGCCUAUUUUGGGACUUUAUCUUGUGAUCAUGUGAAUCAAUUGUCCUUAAUAAACUCCCUUUCAUAUAUACAUCUCUCAUAUUAGUCCUGUCCCUCUAGAGAACCCUGAC
This is a long non-coding RNA of Sapajus apella (tufted capuchin), 157 nucleotides long. RefSeq lists it as uncharacterized. The transcript has 3 exons. The record is from RefSeq and is a predicted model, not a curated record. NCBI's taxonomy places the organism in Eukaryota, Metazoa, Chordata, Mammalia, Primates, Cebidae.